AACGAACGCUGGCGGCAUGCCUAACACAUGCAAGUCGAACGAGACCUUCGGGUCUAGUGGCGCACGGGUGCGUAACGCGUGGGAACCUGCCCUUAGGUUCGGAAUAACUCCCCGAAAGGGGUGCUAAUACCGGAUAAUGUCCUCGGACCAAAGAUUUAUCGCUUUUGGAUGGGCCCGCGUUGGAUUAGCUAGUUGGUAGGGUAAAAGCCUACCAAGGCGACGAUCCAUAGCUGGUCUGAGAGGAUGAUCAGCCACACUGGAACUGAGACACGGCCCAGACUCCUACGGGAGGCAGCAGUGUGGAAUAUUGGACAAUGGGCGAAAGCCUGAUCCAGCAAUGCCGCGUGAGUGAUGAAGGCCUUAGGGUUGUAAAGCUCUUUUACCCGGGAUGAUAAUGACAGUACCGGGAGAAUAAGCUCCGGCUAACUCCGUG
Molecule: ribosomal RNA, 433 nt
Filed under: uncultured bacterium
Lineage: Bacteria
Description: partial 16S ribosomal RNA
Rfam family: Bacterial small subunit ribosomal RNA
Source: RNAcentral